UCCGGUGACAAUGGCGAGGAGGUCCCACCUGUUCCCAUCCCGAACACAGUAGUUAAGCUCCUCAGCGUCGAAAGUACCUGGCUGGACACGGCCCGGGAGGAUAGAACGUUGCCGGAU
RNAcentral lists this ribosomal RNA (117 nucleotides) under Candidatus Spyradocola merdavium. The record is from RNAcentral. Lineage: Bacteria; Bacillati; Bacillota; Clostridia; Christensenellales; Christensenellaceae.